RNAcentral lists this transfer RNA (73 nucleotides) under Hyphomonadaceae bacterium. RNAcentral's name for it is "tRNA-Leu". It matches the Rfam family "tRNA". Rfam says of the family: Transfer RNA (tRNA) molecules are approximately 80 nucleotides in length. Their secondary structure includes four short double-helical elements and three loops (D, anti-codon, and T loops). Lineage: Bacteria; Pseudomonadati; Pseudomonadota; Alphaproteobacteria; Hyphomonadales; Hyphomonadaceae. The record is from RNAcentral.
GCAUUGGAAAAUGGAAAGUUGAACUGCCCUUCGAAGGCAGAGGUUACAGGUUCAAAUCCUGUCGGGUGCGCCA